Molecule: RNase P RNA, 443 nt
Filed under: Novosphingobium sp.
Lineage: Bacteria; Pseudomonadati; Pseudomonadota; Alphaproteobacteria; Sphingomonadales; Sphingomonadaceae
Description: RNase P RNA component class A
Rfam family: Bacterial RNase P class A
About the family: Ribonuclease P (RNase P) is a ubiquitous endoribonuclease, found in archaea, bacteria and eukarya as well as chloroplasts and mitochondria. Its best characterised activity is the generation of mature 5'-ends of tRNAs by cleaving the 5'-leader elements of precursor-tRNAs. Cellular RNase Ps are ribonucleoproteins.
Source: RNAcentral
CCGGGGGGCUGGGCAGCCGCGUCAUCGCAAGAUGCCGAGGAAAGUCCGGGCUCCACGAAACGAGGGUGGCGGGUAACGCCCGCCGGGUGAGGGGUUCGCUCCGAGCCUAGGGAAAGUGCCACAGAGAGCAGACCGCUAAUCCGGGAAACCGGGACAGCAAGGGUGAAAGGGUGCGGUAAGAGCGCACCGGGGGACUGGCAACAGGACCCGCACGGCAAACCCCACCCGGAGCAAGGCCGAAUAGGGGCGGCGCGUCGCGGAGCAAUCCGCGGCUGGGGUGUUUCGCCCCAAGUCUGCGGACUGCGACCGCCCGGGUUGGCUGCUUGAGCCUUGCGGCAACGCAAGGCCUAGAGGAAUGGCUGCCGGUGCGGUGCGGGUCGCCCAGGGAAUCUUGGACGAUACCCCCCGCAUCACAGAACCCGGCUUACAGGCCCCCCGGCAAC